RNAcentral lists this ribosomal RNA (738 nucleotides) under Pediococcus pentosaceus. RNAcentral describes it as "bacterial SSU rRNA". It matches the Rfam family "Bacterial small subunit ribosomal RNA", at positions 56 to 749 of the family's 1533-position model. The record is from RNAcentral. Lineage: Bacteria; Bacillati; Bacillota; Bacilli; Lactobacillales; Lactobacillaceae.
UGCAAGUCGAACGAACUUCCGUUAAUUGAUUAUGACGUACUUGUACUGAUUGAGAUUUUAACACGAAGUGAGUGGCGAACGGGUGAGUAACACGUGGGUAACCUGCCCAGAAGUAGGGGAUAACACCUGGAAACAGAUGCUAAUACCGUAUAACAGAGAAAACCGCAUGGUUUUCUUUUAAAAGAUGGCUCUGCUAUCACUUCUGGAUGGACCCGCGGCGUAUUAGCUAGUUGGUGAGGUAAAGGCUCACCAAGGCAGUGAUACGUAGCCGACCUGAGAGGGUAAUCGGCCACAUUGGGACUGAGACACGGCCCAGACUCCUACGGGAGGCAGCAGUAGGGAAUCUUCCACAAUGGACGCAAGUCUGAUGGAGCAACGCCGCGUGAGUGAAGAAGGGUUUCGGCUCGUAAAGCUCUGUUGUUAAAGAAGAACGUGGGUAAGAGUAACUGUUUACCCAGUGACGGUAUUUAACCAGAAAGCCACGGCUAACUACGUGCCAGCAGCCGCGGUAAUACGUAGGUGGCAAGCGUUAUCCGGAUUUAUUGGGCGUAAAGCGAGCGCAGGCGGUCUUUUAAGUCUAAUGUGAAAGCCUUCGGCUCAACCGAAGAAGUGCAUUGGAAACUGGGAGACUUGAGUGCAGAAGAGGACAGUGGAACUCCAUGUGUAGCGGUGAAAUGCGUAGAUAUAUGGAAGAACACCAGUGGCGAAGGCGGCUGUCUGGUCUGCAACUGACGCUGA